RNAcentral lists this ribosomal RNA (349 nucleotides) under uncultured bacterium. RNAcentral describes it as "bacterial SSU rRNA". It matches the Rfam family "Bacterial small subunit ribosomal RNA", at positions 8 to 350 of the family's 1533-position model. The record is from RNAcentral.
AGAGUUUGAUCAUGGCUCAGGAUGAACGCUAGCUACAGGCUUAACACAUGCAAGUCGAGGGGCAGCAUGGUCUUAGCUUGCUAAGGCCGAUGGCGACCGGCGCACGGGUGAGUAACGCGUAUCCAACCUGCCUUACACUCUUGGACAGCCUUCUGAAAGGGAGAUUAAUACAAGAUGUUAUCAUGAGUAAGCAUUUUCGCAUGAUUAAGGUUACCGGUGUAAGAUGGGGAUGCGUUCCAUUAGAUAGGUAGGCGGGGUAACGGCCACCUAGUCUUCGAUGGAUAGGGGUUCUGAGAGGAAGGUCCCCCACAUUGGAACUGAGACACGGUCCAAAACUCCUACGGAGGCA